AUUCGAUAUUUCUAUUUUUUUUUUUUUUUAGUUGAAGCCACAAGUAGUGAAAUUGAUAAAGCUCCGAAAAUUUCUUCUUAUAUAAGUUUUAUGUUUAUUGCUGGCUUGUGUACAAUUUACUCCACAUAUGGUUCUAUGCCUGAAGUUGGUUUAUCAAAUAAACCCGCAAUUUGCAAUAUAGUUGUUUUUCCUAUCCUGAACUGCCAUUCAGUGCAAUUACUUGUCCUUUCGCGACUCUUAGAUUUAUAUAUCUUUUAUAACAGCAGGAGCUUCUUUGAAACUCUUAUCUACAGAAGUUAGCUCUAGUGCUACAUCAUCACCCAUGUUGAAAAGACCCGCUAAAUUUCUAUCUGCGCCACUGUUCCAAUCCCACCUCUUUUCACUAAGAAAAGGAUAAAGGAUGCAUCUUUAUAAAAAUCAAAACGAUUACUUGAAUUUUUAAACGUGGAGUGAAAUUGCAUGGGAUUAGCCGUUCCAUCAUUUUUUCGUACAGUAUGCCUUCAUCCGAAAAUGGUUAAUUUUGUAAUUUUUUUUAAUAUUCGUUAAGUUCGCAUCAUCUCAUUCGUUAUUCGCUACUUUCAUCAGCAAAUUAAACAUUGUUUUAUUUUUAUCGCUUAUACGAGUAUAUCAUUGCUAUAAUAAACGUAUAUAAGGUUCGAGUGUUGAAAAACAUUGGUCUAGCGGUUUAUAAUUGAACGGAAUGAAGAAAGAAUAUGCGUGUUCUUUAUCGACUCUUGCGUGAGAUAUGUUGCUAUCAUGUAUCGACAGAAGCGGGCUUUAGCGACGUUUAUGGUAAAAAUUUAACGAAGAAAUAAAUUAUAUUUGUUUAAUUAAUAAAUUCGGAGAAUAAAAUGUCUAGAGAAUAUUUUAAACUUGUACAGAAAAUGGGGAAUAGUGAUGAUGAAAUCCAUUUCCGAUAGUUCAG
RNAcentral lists this long non-coding RNA (925 nucleotides) under Androctonus crassicauda. The record is from RNAcentral. Lineage: Eukaryota; Metazoa; Arthropoda; Arachnida; Scorpiones; Buthidae.